UACGUAGGGUGCAAGCGUUAAUCGGAAUUACUGGGCGUAAAGCGUGCGCAGGCGGUUAUGCAAGACAGAUGUGAAAUCCCCGGGCUCAACCUGGGAAUUGCGUUGGAGACUGCAAGGCUGGAGUCUGGCAGAGGGGGGUAGAAUUCCACGUGUAGCAGUGAAAUGCGUAGAGAUGUGGAGGAACACCGAUGGCGAAGGCAGCCCCCUGGGUCAAGACUGACGCUCAUGCACGAAAGCGUGGGGAGCAAACAGG
Molecule: ribosomal RNA, 253 nt
Filed under: uncultured bacterium
Lineage: Bacteria
Description: partial 16S ribosomal RNA
Rfam family: Bacterial small subunit ribosomal RNA
Source: RNAcentral